Non-coding RNA from Paramuricea clavata, 76 nucleotides. Lineage: Eukaryota; Metazoa; Cnidaria; Anthozoa; Malacalcyonacea; Plexauridae. The record is from the annotation of a GenBank genome assembly.
AGGUGUCUAGCUCAGUUGGAUUGAGCGCUACACCGGAAUCGCAGAGGCACAGGUUCGAUUCCUGCCUUUUGACCUA